CACUCUCAAGUUCAACAAAUGGCCACAGAGGGCGAAAAAAUCGACCGCGCGGCGCUGCUAAAGAAACAGGCAUAGUACACCAAUUAAAAAGGUUCCCCGUUGAGCACAUUAUCUCCCGCUAGAGGCGCCGUAGUAAGCGCAAUUUUAACCUACAAACUUUCUUCAACAGUAAACGAAGCGUUUUUAUUGCAUGAUAAAGACUACAAAAUUAUAAUUCCUAAUUUUACAUUGUACUUUUCAUUACCAACUUUGUUGUUUUUUGUCAUUUUAAACGCAAAAUAGCGUUCAGCAUCAUCGACCUCCCACGUGACCUCUGGCCUGAAUUUAAAAUUUUUACCGGUAUGUUCGCGUGCGCGGCAGGUACGGAUUCCUUGGUUUGUACAUUGGUUGGUUAUUUUGUGCUAACACCAGUUUACUGCGCUUCGAUGUCUCGCGUUAUUUAAUUUGGGGUGUAAGCCUGAAAGCUAGGUUUCAGUCGUGAGCCAUGUGGAACACGUCUGCAUCGAAAUGGGAGCCGGGUCCUGCUGCAACUGGGGACAGCAAUACCGACAUGCAGUAAUGAGGAUGGCACCAGUAUAAAGCAACACACUCCAUGCACUAAACAGAAGCUGCUGCCUGCUACAACAAGGUCAUUGUGUGGACUUUGGCUGCUACUACAAGAGUCUGUUCCAAGUACAUCUUGGUCAUCACGGGAGCCCCCAUCUACGCCAACAGGAAGGGGCUGGCGCUGAAUUCGCAAGACCACAAACAAAGAAGCCAUUCCAGAAUUAUUUGGAUGAGAUAUCAAGUCUACGGACGACUGUUUCAAGAGUGAAAAGAGCCUACGCCAUCAUUCCACCAGCACGGAUAUUGGCCGAGUCAUCCAGGUACCUCAACAACAAAAAUUAUUUGUCUUCAGAUGUACCUGCAACCUCUGAAUAAGCACAGAUGACGCUGGCUAAGAGUGUUCUGUCAGCUUGCCCUUCCUUAGUGAGCUUCCUGGCCUUGCCAGUUCUUGCCAAGUAUAAUUUUGUUUCAAUGAGUGCAAGCUUUUUCAUUCCACACUUUUGUUAGAGAUCAUUCCUAUUCCUCAUACAAACAAUAAAGGUCAACCGAUUCUUUGCUCAUACUUAAUGCCAGUCACUGUCUAGUAGCAUAACAUAUGUGUACCAGUUCUUUCUAGUGUAUGUUGCCAUGUGCAAUUCCUCUCCUGAAAUAGCUGAUGCAGCAUUGGCGUGUGUCUUGCAUUAACCUUUACACUGUGUGCUAUGUAGCAUUUAACUUUUGUUAAUGUUUUUGGCUUUCAAUGCUUGCAAGGUAGAGUGGCUUCUUUCUUGAAUGCAAGCUUUCUCAUUCCCAUAUUGAAUUCCUAGUCUCAUUCAGGAUUGCUAUUCUUGCUCGACAGCCUGUGUUUCUGUGAAAGCUACAUUGAAGUGAUUGAUUGCAGAAUCUGGUUUCGGCGCUGUCCGACUUGGUACUUGUCACCGUGUUACAUUUCUCAUAUGUGGGAGCCUGGUCAGUUGCAUUGGGAAACAGUCUCUCGAGGCAAGCACCUACAGUCCGCACAGUGACAUAGACUGCGAAUUUAUACACGCACACCGUGGUUGGUGCUCCGCGUUCCGUCCUUUCCUGCUGCUGCCGUGUGCAAAUUUUGCUUGCGGUCUUCCUCGGCCAUGAUUUGGCGUCAACGGAGACUCUCAUACAUAAUUACAUGGUUCUAAGUGUAUGAAGUUGAUAUCCACAUGUGUGGAAAGGCCUGCAAAAGUGACUGCAACAUAGUGAUGUUCACAAAACCGACCAUGCCCAUAUAUAGAGAAUGUGGGGGACCAAGUGUGAGUUACACAUUAGUGGCAUGCAAAAGAACAAAAAGAAACAUGCAGGUUGGAAAGGCGGUAACGCUAAAAUGCCGGGCACUCCAUGUCGCUGUUGGCUGUGGCAGCAGAUGCUUGCGUCACCCGAUUGCUUCGCAAUGCAAGCUGCUCAUAUUCAACGCCGACUGUCGGUGCAAACAUGUGGGACACACUGUCCAAUCUGCUUGUGCUGCUGGUUGUUGCUUGUUACCAGACUGCAGUGUGCGACGAAGGCAAGCACUAUGCCUACAGUCGGACGGUUGAAUGUGCUGCAAGCAACCCGUGUGCGUGUAUGCUCACUGUUGUCAUGUAGAUCGUAGCCAAUGCAUAGUGCCAAUGUAUAGAUUGAGCAUUAUGUUAGAGUAGGCUGAAGUGAUUUGAUUGCAUAAUCUUGUUUCAAUGUUGUCCCACUUGGUCAUGGUUGCCGUGUUACAUUUCUGGGAUGUGGCAGCCUGUUCAGUUGUAUUGGCCAAUGGCCUCUCGAGGUAAGCACCUGCUCCUGCAGUCCACACAGUGACACAAACUCCCUGUUUACAUGUAGUGUGAUUGGUGCUCCCUGUUUGUCCUUUCCUGCUGCAGCCGUGGGUAAAGCAUGCUUGUGGCCUUCUUUGGCCAUGAUUUGGCGUGAACAGAGACUAUCAUACAUGAUUACAUGGUUUGAAGUGUAUGAAGUUGAUAUCCACAUGGGUGGAAAGGCCUGUAAAAGUGGCUGCGAAAUGGCGAUUUCCACAAAACAGACCACAUCCAUAUUGAGAGCAGGUGGGGCGCCAAGUGUGAGCAACACAUUAGUGGCCACCGAAAGAACAAAAAUAAACGUGCAUGUAGGAAAGGAGGUAACACUAGGAUGCCGGGUAGUUCAUGUCGCUGUGUUGGCUAUGGCAUCAGGUGCCUGCGUCACCCGAUUGAUUCGCAGUACAAGUUACGGUGACUGUCAGUGUAAACAGGUGGGGCACUGUCCAAUCUGCUUGUGCUGCUGGUUGUCACUCGUUACUAGACCACCAUGUGCCACGUAGGCGAGCACUGUGCCUGAAGUCGGAUAGCUGAAUAAGCUGUAUGCAAUUUGUAGUGCGUGAAUGCCCACUGUUGUCAUAAGGAUCUUAGCCAAUGUACAGUGUAUUGUCUGAACCUUAUGCGGUGAUUGAAUGCAGUCUAAUUUGAUAAUGGUCGCCGUGUUCUGUUUCUUCGAUGUGGCGACCUGGUUAGCUGCAUGGGCAACAGUCUCCCGAGGUAACCAUCUGCUCCUGCAGUCCACACAGCGACAAAGACUCCCAAUUUACAUGCACCGUAAUUGGUGCUCUCCCCAUUCGACGUUUCUUGCUGCAGCCGCCGGCAAAUUAUGCUUGUGGGCCUUCAUCGGCCGUGAUGUGGCGUGAGCGGAGACAGCACACGUUAUUACAUGGUCCGAAGUUGAUAGCCACAUAGGUGGAAAGGCCUGCAAAACUGACUGCAAAAUGGUGAUGCCCACAUUGAAAAUGUGGGGCACCAACUAUGAGUUACACGUUAGCGGCCCCCGAAAGAACAAAAAGAAACGUGCAGGUUGGAUAGGCGGGAACGCUAAAAUGCCGUUUAGUCCAUGUCGCUGUGUUGGUUGCGGCAGCAGAUGCCUUGCGUCACCAGAUUGCUUCGCAAUGUAAGUUACGGCGACUGUGAAAGCAAACAGGUGGUGCACUGCCCGAUUUGCUUGCGCUACUGAUUGUCGCUCGUUACCAAAUCGCCAUGUGCGGCGACGAAAGUGAGCAGUUUACGAGCUCGCGUUAAUGGUUUCAGCGCAUCUCGACAUGCAAAUUUUAUUUCUGAUCUUGUAUGGGAAGGUGCACUGCUUUUCUUCUGCCAAUAAAGUCGCACGUCCUGUUCA
Long non-coding RNA from Dermacentor andersoni, 3684 nucleotides. RefSeq lists it as uncharacterized. Lineage: Eukaryota; Metazoa; Arthropoda; Arachnida; Ixodida; Ixodidae. The record is from RefSeq and is a predicted model, not a curated record.